RNAcentral lists this ribosomal RNA (482 nucleotides) under uncultured bacterium. Its description in RNAcentral is "partial 16S ribosomal RNA". It matches the Rfam family "Bacterial small subunit ribosomal RNA", at positions 30 to 507 of the family's 1533-position model. The record is from RNAcentral.
AUUGAACGCUGGCGGCAUGCCUUACACAUGCAAGUCGAACGGUAACGGGCCUUCGGGUGCCGACGAGUGUCGAACGGGGGAGUAAUACAUCGGAACGUGCCCGAUCGUGGGGGAUAACGAGGCGAAACCUUUUCUAAUACCGCAUACGAUCUACGGAUGCAAGCAGGGGACCUCACGGCCUUGCGCGGCCGGAGCGGCCGCUGGCCGCUUAGGUAGUGGGUGGGUUAAAAGCUUACCAAGCCGACGAUCUGUAGCUGGUCUGAGAGGAUGGUCAGCCACACUGGGACUGAGACACGGCCCAGACUCCUACGGGAGGCAGCAGUGGGGAAUUUUGGACAAUGGGCGCAAGCCUGAUCCAGCCAUGCGGCGUGAAGGAUGAAGGCCUUCGGGUUGGAAACUGAUGUUGUACGGAACGAAAAGCCUUCUUUUAAUACAGGAGGGUCAUGACGGUACCGUAAGAAUAAGCACCGGCUAACUACGUG